AGUGAACGCUGGCGGUAGGCCUAACACAUGCAAGUCGAACGGCAGCACAGUAAGAGCUUGCGCUUACGGGUGGCGGGUGGCGGACGGGUGAGGAAUACAUCGGAAUCUACUUUUUCGUGGGGGAUAACGUAGGGAAAGUUACGCUAAUACCGCAUAUGACCUACGGGGGAAAGCAGGGGAUCUUCGGAGCUUGUGCGAUUGGACGAGCGGGUGUCGGAUUAGCUGGUUGGCGGGGUAAAGGCCCACCAAGGCGAGGAUCGGUAGCUGGUGUGAGAGGAUGAUCACCCACACUGGAACUUGGACACGGUCCAGACGCCUACGGGAGGCAGCAGUGGGGAAUAUUGGACAAUGGGCGCAAGCCUGGUCCAGCCAUACCGCGUGGGUGAAGGAGGCCUUCGGGUUGUAAAGCCCUUUUGUUGGGAAAGAAAAGCAGCAGGUUAAUACCCCGCUGUUCUGACGGUACCCAAAAAAUAAGCACCGGCUAACUUCGUG
RNAcentral lists this ribosomal RNA (492 nucleotides) under uncultured bacterium. RNAcentral describes it as "partial 16S ribosomal RNA". It matches the Rfam family "Bacterial small subunit ribosomal RNA", at positions 29 to 507 of the family's 1533-position model. The record is from RNAcentral.